CCUACGGGAGGCAGCAGUGGGGAAUAUUGGACAAUGGGGGCAACCCUGAUCCAGCCAUGCCGCGUGUGUGAAGAAGGCCCUCGGGUUGUAAAGCACUUUCAGUGAGGAAGAACGCCUGGUGGUUAAUACCCAUUAGGAAAGACAUCACUCACAGAAGAAGCACCGGCUAACUCCGUGCCAGCAGCCGCGGUAAUACGGAGGGUGCGAGCGUUAAUCGGAAUUACUGGGCGUAAAGCGCGCGUAGGUGGCUUGAUAAGCCGGUUGUGAAAGCCCCGGGCUCAACCUGGGAACGGCAUCCGGAACUGUCAAGCUAGAGUGCAGGAGAGGAAGGUAGAAUUCCCGGUGUAGCGGUGAAAUGCGUAGAGAUCGGGAGGAAUACCAGUGGCGAAGGCGGCCUUCUGGACUGACACUGACACUGAGGUGCGAAAGCGUGGGUAGCAAACAGGAUUAGAUACCCGGGUAGUC
Molecule: ribosomal RNA, 465 nt
Filed under: Vreelandella stevensii
Lineage: Bacteria; Pseudomonadati; Pseudomonadota; Gammaproteobacteria; Oceanospirillales; Halomonadaceae
Description: partial 16S ribosomal RNA
Rfam family: Bacterial small subunit ribosomal RNA
Source: RNAcentral